This 531-nucleotide unclassified non-coding RNA is filed under the name Hevea brasiliensis (rubber tree). Lineage: Eukaryota; Viridiplantae; Streptophyta; Magnoliopsida; Malpighiales; Euphorbiaceae. The record is from RNAcentral.
AGAUCAUGCUUCAUUCUGAAUGGAAACUGAUCCAAAGAAGAAAAGGAGGAAAACAGGCAUUUUUACCAUUAAAGGUUCUGAAAGAUACAAAAACUUUUCGUGUUUGGCAUUAUGUUCCGUAUCUUCUACAUGUUUCAACAAGUUGAGAGGGAUGAUCCGCAGUUAGUUGCCUGUACCGGUGUCCUAGAUAAAAUGCUGUCAGUAUCCACAUCAAGCAGACAGGCAGGGCAUAUAGAGAAACAGCUGAUGCCUUGCCAUUGAGAGUGCUGAAGAGUAGCUUGUACAUUGCAGCUGCUGUAGCAUCCCCAAGUCUUUGAACAAUCACAUCUAUGCAUACCUUUGCUUUAUACUUCUCGUCCUGUGAGACAACAGUGAAAAGAAGCUCCCUUGCAGGCCUGGUAACGACGUAUGUGACCACCUUCCUCAGGGUUUCUGAGAUGGCCACUGCAAUCCAUGUGGGCCAUACUGCUAAAGCAAUUAGAUUCGCAAAGGCAACAAAAGGUGCGGAGCAAAUGGCUAGAGUAACACCAG